GAUUGCAAAUGGCGGUGGGGGCCAUGCUGGCCCUGAGCUUCACGGUGAUGAGGAGCGCAUUCUGCACGGAUCCGUGGCCGGAUCUGGAGGA
RNAcentral lists this non-coding RNA (91 nucleotides) under Minutocellus polymorphus. Lineage: Eukaryota; Bacillariophyta; Thalassiosirophyceae; Cymatosirales; Cymatosiraceae. The record is from RNAcentral.